This 462-nucleotide ribosomal RNA is filed under the name uncultured bacterium. RNAcentral describes it as "partial 16S ribosomal RNA". It matches the Rfam family "Bacterial small subunit ribosomal RNA", at positions 28 to 507 of the family's 1533-position model. The record is from RNAcentral.
GACGAACGCUGGCGGCGUGCUUAACACAUGCAAGUCGAACGGUAAACCUCUUCGGAGGUGAUCAGUUGGGGACGGGUGAGUAACACGUGCGCAACCUUCCCCCGCCCCUGGGAUAACUCUAAGAACUUGGGGCUAUACCGAAUAUUCACCGCUUCCUCCAUGGGUGUGGUUGGGAAGGGUUUGCGGUGGGGGUUGGGCCCGCGGCCUCUCAGCUUGUUGGUGGGGUAGGGGCCUACCAAGGCGAAGACGGGUAGCCGGCCCGGGAGGGGGACCGGCCACAAUGGGACUGAGAGACGGCCCAGACUCCUAAGGGAGGGAGGAGGGGGGAAUAUUGCGGAAGGGGGGGAAGGCUGAAGCAGCAACGCCGGGGGGGGGAAGAAGGCCUUCGGGUUGUAAACCGCUUUCGCCUGGGAAGAAGCGUGAGGGAAGGUAAUGGGUAAAGAAGAACCGGCUAAAUAAGUG